UGUUUAAGGUUUGCUAUG
RNAcentral lists this non-coding RNA (18 nucleotides) under Mus musculus (house mouse). The record is from RNAcentral. Lineage: Eukaryota; Metazoa; Chordata; Mammalia; Rodentia; Muridae.